UGACCUCAAAUCGGGUAAAAAUACCCGCUG
Molecule: ribosomal RNA, 30 nt
Filed under: Glomus cerebriforme
Lineage: Eukaryota; Fungi; Glomeromycota; Glomeromycetes; Glomerales; Glomeraceae
Description: partial 28S ribosomal RNA
Source: RNAcentral